RNAcentral lists this transfer RNA (67 nucleotides) under Marmota monax (woodchuck). Its description in RNAcentral is "tRNA.Ala". The record is from RNAcentral. Lineage: Eukaryota; Metazoa; Chordata; Mammalia; Rodentia; Sciuridae.
GUUGUGGCUCAGUGGUAGCGUGCUUGCCUAGCAUGUGUGAGGCACUGGGUUCGAGCCUCAGCACACA